UCUCCGUUGGUGAACCAGCGGGGGGAUCAUUACAGAGUUGCAAAACUCCCAAACCAUUGUGAACGUUACCUAUCCCGUUGCUUCGGCGGGCGGCCCGGGCCCCGCGCCCGGCGCCCCCCGGCCCCCCGUGGGCGCCCGCCGGAGGUAAACCAAACCCUUGAAUUGCAUGGCCUCUCUGAGUCUUCUGUACUGAAUAAGUCAAAACUUUCAACAACGGAUCUCUUGGUUCUG
This 231-nucleotide unclassified non-coding RNA is filed under the name plant metagenome. RNAcentral's name for it is "partial contains small subunit ribosomal RNA, internal transcribed spacer 1, and 5.8S ribosomal RNA". The record is from RNAcentral.